GAAUACCACCCUAAAUGACAGCUGUGCUAACAAGAUAUGCCGCAUGGGCUUAAUUAAGAUACGGCGAACAAGAUCAGUGAAAAACAAACGUCAUCAAAAUCGGCGAACACCUACUUCCGUCAACGUCAUUCCGCAUUCUUCUCGCCGCCGUCAGCAGCAAAGUUGUGCAGCAAAAAAAAGAAAAAAUAAAAGUGCCCGUUUUUCGUACGAACGAAAAAAAAAUCGUCCUAGGAAGCGGACGAAGGGCGCGAGUGCUUAAGAAGGAAUCGGGGAAGGAAUUCCUGACGAUAUAGGAAAAGAUAUUAACAGCAAUUGAAAUUGCUUCCCUCAUCCGCACCGAUUGUGCCAUCCGGACCGUAAUUGUGACAGCACGUGGGGACAUAUUUAAAGUCUAACAGACUGCUCGCUUUGAAUCCCAGAGACGAAUCCGGACGGGCGGGUGGACUAAAGAAUACUAAGCACGUCGGAACACUCCCGGUACCGUAAACCAGAAAGGGCAAGGCAUUAAAUCGAUCGGGGCAGAUCAUAGCUAAUUGAGUACCUAUACAAAGAGCACACCCGAAAUCAAACCAAAGCUCAAGGACACAGCACCGUAAUCCUUCCAUUCGCGGCUCGCACGACAAAAGGCCUCCACAAGGAGGCCUUUUUUCUAUAUUUUGCAGAUCGGUCACGGUGAACGGCCUUAGCCUCCCGAAAGGUAACCGCCGCGGGCGUUUCGAAGACUGUGGGGAUCGAAGUCCGAAGCCGGCAAAACCAUCAUUCAGCUGUCGUGCUGGGAAGAGUUCGGCAUUGCGCGAGAAGGUACGGAAGCUUGAACCGGAAAGAGAAGGAUACGGACGAUAAACACCACCCACUGGUAGGUGCAUGCCAAAGUAGCACGGCCAAUCAGACACAGGAACCAAGGGGUGCGCAAUUGUCCAUUUAUAUGCACGACCAAAGGAAGAGCAAUUGGCGCAUCGCUGCCAAUGACAAGACGAAUCUUCACGCCACUUCAGAAGCACAGGGGUUCACCAUUUCCUCGCGAUACGAGAUGCGCUCGACGGAAUCCAGGUGGGAAGAACGAGAGCGGCACUGAGGAUGCGGCAGCCGUGAGUGAUAGUUUUAAGAAAUUGAAACGAAGAUGUAAGAAGACCAGGCAUGCUAAUCGAGUAGGAGAGUAGGAAGUCAGAAGAACGUUGAGAAGUUAUGUAAAUGGGUGAAAUAUAGGAUGAUAUGAUUGCACACUAAAUUAUGUUUUGUGGCGUUUAUUGUUGCUAGCCG
Long non-coding RNA from Armigeres subalbatus, 1260 nucleotides. RefSeq lists it as uncharacterized. Lineage: Eukaryota; Metazoa; Arthropoda; Insecta; Diptera; Culicidae. The record is from RefSeq and is a predicted model, not a curated record. The transcript is spliced from 4 exons.